AUUGAACGCUGGCGGCAGGCUUAACACAUGCAAGUCGAGCGGGGGAAGGUAGCUUGCUACCGGACCUAGCGGCGGACGGGUGAGUAAUGCUUAGGAAUCUGCCUAUUAGUGGGGGACAACAUCUCGAAAGGGAUGCUAAUACCGCAUACGUCCUACGGGAGAAAGCAGGGGAUCUUCGGACCUUGCGCUAAUAGAUGAGCCUAAGUCGGAUUAGCUAGUUGGUGGGGUAAAGGCCUACCAAGGCGACGAUCUGUAGCGGGUCUGAGAGGAUGAUCCGCCACACUGGGACUGAGACACGGCCCAGACUCCUACGGGAGGCAGCAGUGGGGAAUAUUGGACAAUGGGGGGAACCCUGAUCCAGCCAUGCCGCGUGUGUGAAGAAGGCCUUAUGGUUGUAAAGCACUUUAAGCGAGGAGGAGGCUACUUUAGUUAAUACCUAGAGAUAGUGGACGUUACUCGCAGAAUAAGCACCGGCUAACUCUGUGCCAGCAGCCGCGGUAAUACAGAGGGUGCGAGCGUUAAUCGGAUUUACUGGGCGUAAAGCGUGCGUAGGCGGCUUAUUAAGUCGGAUGUGAAAUCCCCGAGCUUAACUUGGGAAUUGCAUUCGAUACUGGUGAGCUAGAGUAUGGGAGAGGAUGGUAGAAUUCCAGGUGUAGCGGUGAAAUGCGUAGAGAUCUGGAGGAAUACCGAUGGCGAAAGCAGCCAUCUGGCCUAAUACUGACGCUGAGGUACGAAAGCAUGGGGAGCAAACAGGAUUAGAUACC
RNAcentral lists this ribosomal RNA (764 nucleotides) under Acinetobacter baumannii Canada BC-5. Its description in RNAcentral is "bacterial SSU rRNA". It matches the Rfam family "Bacterial small subunit ribosomal RNA", at positions 28 to 786 of the family's 1533-position model. Lineage: Bacteria; Pseudomonadati; Pseudomonadota; Gammaproteobacteria; Moraxellales; Moraxellaceae. The record is from RNAcentral.